GUAACUUUAUGUAUUCAUAUUCAUAUUUUUAAAUUCAUAUUCGUAUUUUUAUACAUUUGUGUGUAAAUUACAUAGGCAUGCAAAAUUAGGUUUUCAUACAUGUGUGUUUUUAUGUGAGUGUGACUCUAAAAGCUAUGACUGUAAACAUUCAUGAGUACAACUCUAUUUCUACGACUACGAAUUCUUGAGUGUGAACACGAAUUCAAGUUUACGGGUACGAGUAAAAAAACAGUUGAAAUGACGUCACUGCAGUCCCAGGCCAGGGUAAUCGAACCUCGAUUACAUUUAAUGCGCAUGCGUCACAGGUGAAAAAUGGCUAACCGACCGGAGGCUUCUAGCCCAGGCUCAGCAUCACAGGCACCACUGGCUACUCGGUUACUGCAGCGUUUGGAGUCAAGGAUCACUGAUACAUUAAGUCAACCUCACUUUAAUUUGGACUACUCCCAAUUCACUAUAUGAAACUGUCUGUAUAGAUACAAUAUCUGGAUCCAGCAACAAACAACUGCUCAAACACUGCCCUUUCAUUUUCCUGAAGGCAGUGGAAAACUAUGGCUGGCCUUCCAGGAUUAAGCGGCUAUGGCGAGAUGUCUGGACCUGUGUCACUCAUCUGUACUAUGACGUUCUUCAGUCUAAAAGAUGAUGGCCUGUUGGAUUUGUCAGAUGCUGUACAUCUGAUUUGUGCCCACUACAUGUUCCUUCCACGUCUGGCAGAGGCCCUUCACACCUUCAGAGGGCUGGGACAACCAUCCCUUAAAAUCUGAAGGUGGACUCUCCCCUAACCAACUCUGGGUUAUGGGUAACAAGCAGAACCCUUGUCUCCCAGAUGGAGAUUUGCAGAACAUGGAGCUGUUUGGAACUGACUGGGAGAUGUUUGAAGGUGUGCCUGAAGAACCUUAUGGAGUUGAAGUCCCACAGAUUGAGUGCCCAUUGACUUCAGCUUUUAUGGAAACUGUACAGUCCAUGAUCAAUCCUUCGGCAUCGUCAGAGUCAUUUGGCAGAGACAUUUACAUAGCAAUGGUUUAGUGCAUUGAAAGUGUGACACAAAGAAAUGUCUAAAAGAUUUAAUGGUAUGAAGUUCAACACUUGCCAUCAAAGACUGACCGUUACAAAAGGUUUGUUAAUUUUAACAUGGGAGUAACAGUGAGGUACAGUUGUGCUCAUAAGUGUACAUGCCAAUGCUUAAGU
Long non-coding RNA from Etheostoma spectabile (orangethroat darter), 1185 nucleotides. RefSeq lists it as uncharacterized. NCBI's taxonomy places the organism in Eukaryota, Metazoa, Chordata, Actinopteri, Perciformes, Percidae. The transcript is spliced from 5 exons. The record is from RefSeq and is a predicted model, not a curated record.